Aegilops tauschii subsp. strangulata is the source of this 4276-nucleotide non-coding RNA. NCBI's taxonomy places the organism in Eukaryota, Viridiplantae, Streptophyta, Magnoliopsida, Poales, Poaceae. The record is from RefSeq and is a predicted model, not a curated record.
AGUAUAGAAAUAUAAGAGUGUUUAGAUCACUACUUUAAUGAUCUAUAUUUCGGUUUGCUUGCACGACAUGUUCUUUUUUCUAUUUUUAUCUUUUGUAGGUUUAAAUGUGUGGCGCGGAUAGUAUGGUUGUCUUCUGUACAGACUCCUCGAUUUGUAGGAUAUUUUUCUUAACAUUUUGGAGGAUUGGUUCGUUUAAGGGUUUUUCGCUAUACAAAUUUAUUUUUCAUGGGACUCAAAUAUCUUCGAAAGAAUAUUUUCUUUUGUUGUGCUGAAAUCAAAUAAAAUUAGAUAGAAAUUUUAAUCACAAAGAAUUUGAGGUAAUAUGGCAUGCCACAAUUCUGUGCAUGUUGUUUUCUAUAAUUUACAAAAGUGUGUCGUUAUAAUUUUAUUACUCUUGAGAGUCAAAAUACCAUAAUCAUUUCUAUAUAGACUCAACUCUAUCUGAGUAAUAUGCAAAGAAAAAGGAAACUCUACCGACCGAAUGUUCUCUCGGGAUCUUUCGGCGCCACGUAAUGUCCACUGCUCGAUUCUGCGAGCGGCAGCAAACCUGCACGCCAAAUGAAAACGGGCUGCAAUGCACUUGAGGUGUCGCGGUAAACUUAGUCGGGUUGUAAUACCAGAUGCCAAAUAGAAAACUCAAUUUGACCUCAUGAAAAUCGCAUUCAUACUAUGCUAUUUUCGCAUGGAUGUUUUUUUCUAAAUGCCUAGGGCAUGAUUCUCAUACACCUAUUUACUAUUGACACCCAAUCCGAUUUGUAUGAGGAAAAACCAUCAUUUUUUUUAAAUGAGACUACCCUUCAUUAUCACGUACGUGUAGACAUGGUUUUUUUUUCAGAAUCGUGUAGACAUGAAUAUGCGGUGUCUCCGAGCCAGACUCUAUCCUGGCCUGUUUUUUUCUCUCGUGAGCUGCUACGAUGGGCUGUUGGCCCACGGCAAUGGUGUGCCUCAUAUAGCUUUUCGUGUCCAAAUCGGUACGUCCUAUAUCGAUACACCCAUCUUUGUUUGUCCGCACAAGUAUAUUUAUCGCGCAUCUAUUUUUAUAUCUCAACCAUUAAUUACGCGGCUAGGAUUGGUAUAUUUUAUAUUUUUAUAAUUGAGAUGUGUUUGCUAUUUUUCUUACUCAUAUGGACAUGUAUUUUUUUUUGUUCUUUGACAUUGCUCAGAAGUUUAUAAUUAUUGUUAGUUGAACACCUUCAUAUGCAUUUUCCUCUUCAUACUAUUCUUUGUGUUUCAGUUGAGCGCCUCCAUAUGCAUUUUUCCUCUUCAUACUAUUCUUUUUGUUUCAGUUAUCUCUGUCUAUUAUUUUAGUUUGCCAAAAAAUUAUUUUGUGUGAAUGCCCAACAUUUUCUUUCUUUAUUUUUUUACUACAUGUUCCUAAUCCAUCAUGGAAUACUGAAUUAUGUUUCUUUUUUUGUGAGAAAAUUCUGGAUCUAAUUCCCCACAAUAUAUUCUGUACGUAAUAUACCCAAUUGUGUAAGAAAUGAAAUGAAAAUAUAGGAGUGAAUAAAUGAAAUAGAAAAAUCUAAUAAAUAUUAGUUUUCACUUCAUAAGUACUCCGUUUCUAAAUAUAAGUCUUUGUAGAGAUUUUACUAUGGACUAUAUACGGAGCAAAAUAAGCGAAUCUACCUCUAAAAUGCAUCUUUGUAGAUUCGUAUAUGGUCCGUAGUGAGAUCUGUAAAAGACUUAUAUUUAAGAACGGAGUGAUAUAUUAUAGUACUCUGUAAGUUACAGCCAGCUAACCGUGGGUCAACGACUCAGCGUGCUACCCUUCCCAGCCAAAAAAAGAGAAACCCAAAUUCUCGUUCUCCUCCCGUUCCUUUUCACCGUUCCUUGCCCGAUCCAUAGAUUCAUCCACAUUCGUUGAUAGAUCCUGCCAAGGGAGGAGGACGGGGUGAGAAGGGGGAUUUGCGGCGGAGUGCGGUGGCUGCAUGCUCUCGGCGACGGCAGGUCCUCCAGCUCGACCACACGUGCCUGCUGUUCCCCGCCGCCGUCAAUUGGAUGGCCGUGGAGUUGGGCCCCUUUGAACCUGAGCGGUUCCUCUUCUCCAGAGAGUCCAUGGGUGGAGGCGUGUUGUGGGCUCGCUACUGCUGUCAGCUUCCACCUAUGUAAUGUGCUACAACUUUGCAUCAUUACUACUUGCUGCACACCGGCUGAUUCGUCACAGGUAUGCUUCCUCCCUGUAGUUUGAUAAAAAGGUGUAUUCUUUCUAUUUGUUGUUACCAUAUAGUAUUAGCAAGUUAUAUUAAUGAUAUGUGUCUUUAAGACAAAAGAAAAAGGCUUGCAUUUAUUAACUGAAUUUGGUCCAUAUGUGUUAAUUGAUAUGCAAUAGAGUUUUCACAUGUGUUGUAGGUGAUGCAUAUAACACUGGAGCUUUUUUCAUUGUUCUCCUCAACUGAAAAGGCUAGACAGAAGAGCUGUUACCAAGAACAUAAAACUCACUAAAGUGCAUGUCUGAAUUUAGUAGACCUUCCAUAGUAACCAUGAAUGUAAUUAGAAAAUGCAUGCAGGGAUUAAAUAUGCAAAUUGUACGUUGAUGACCUAUGGAAAAUAUCUGAACCCGAAUGGAUGAACUGAUGAUUUAGAACAGCUCUUACUAACCUUUCAAAUUUCAGAAUUUACGGGAAUCACUUGUCGCAUAUGUCAUCUUCUACAAAAAUACUCUACAGACAACAAAAUAGCUACUGUUACUUUAGGGCUACAAAAUAAUCUAUUAGACUCAUUUUGCAGCGAUAAGAAAUAGCAUAUAGCAUGUUGUACAGGGAAAAAAAUUGUGCAAUAGAAUUGUAGCGUUGCCUUUCACUUAUAUUAGACACUGAAAAACUAUAGUUAUUGUCAUAGAAACAUAGACUGAUUGGAACAUAUCUAGUAGAAUAUAGCCUUCAGGUGCAGAACUGAAACAACAUGCAACAGUACGAUUGUCUCUGACCACCCAGAUAAAUGUAUAAUAGUCCUUCCAUAGUAAACAUGAAUGUAAUUAGAAUUAUUAAAAAAAUGAAUGUAAUUAGAAAAUGCAUGCAGGGAUCAAAUAUGCAAAUUGUACAUUGGUGACCUAUGGAAAAUAUCUUAACUCAAAUGGAUGAACUGAUUACUGAGAUCAACUCUUACUUACCAUUCAAAUUUCAGAAUUAAUGGAAAUCACUUGAAUUUAUAAGGAUUCACACACAUAUCAUCUUCUAGGAAAAAUCUACACAUAAUACAAUAGCUUUUAUUACUUAAUGACUACAAAAAUAAUCUAUUAUGCUCAUUUUUCAACGAUAAGAGUUGCAUAUAGCAUCUUGUAUAUCAUAAAAAUUCUGCAAACAAUAGUAGUUGCUGUUACUAACACAUUGUAUAAUAUGUGAUCUGUUAUAUCCUGAAUUCAGGACCUUUACGCAUUAGUCCUAAGGAUAGCUUGUAUACAUAAAUUUAUCCUUUUUCAAACUGUAAAUCUAAUAUGCACAAUGAUCUGCUAAAAAUACCAUUGGAUAUACAUGUCUUUAUACAUUUUGUCAAACACUUGGCAAGCAUGUCCAAAUUUUAACUAACUGUUAGACAGAGGAGGGCGAGGAGUUGAUUAAAUCUAGAAAGAGGAUAGGGCCAUGUUUCAAACAAUUUUGUUAUUACGCCAAGUAAUACCUGCAUCUGGGGGUCGAUUUGGUUCUCUUUAUGCCACUUGUAAGUCACAUCCUUGGUGGUCAUCUUACUAUGCUUGUAGACCAUGCUGAUCUAUCCUCUUGCAGACAGUCCUACAUGCCUUGAUCGACCUGUGUAUGACACAACUCCAAGAUAGCACGAUAGUAUUCUUCCUUCUUUGCGACAUGAUUCUUGUCAAGUGUUUUCCUAUGGACAGGAACAGGAUGAUGAGACGCGACUGGUUGCUGCUCGGGAGGCGGAAUCUUCAACACCUAACCGAUUGAGGAGAAGAUCUUGUGGAGAGUGGACACAGAAGGCAUGGCUUCGAGGUUUUGGUGGCGCUGUAGGAUGUGAGCUGCAGCCACAGGACAGGAUGAAUAGUGUGGCCCUAGAGUAGACCAUCAGAAACCCUAGAACUCGGCUGCCCGAGAGGCAUAGUUUUGGGGUUUCGGUGGAUCUAUAGGAGGUGAGCUGCAGUUGCACAGGAGGAAUAGCUCGGCCCUAGGGCAGAUCAUCAUAAACCCUAAAACCUGGACUGCUCGAGAGGCAUAUGGCUUUGAGGUUUCGGUAGAACUGUAGGACGUAAACCUGGACAUCUCUUUUGUAUGCAACGUGUCAGGAUUUUUUUACCAUAUUGAUGCUCGUACGUGAACCUUUUUUUGAA